RNAcentral lists this ribosomal RNA (719 nucleotides) under uncultured Bacilli bacterium. Its description in RNAcentral is "bacterial SSU rRNA". It matches the Rfam family "Bacterial small subunit ribosomal RNA", at positions 51 to 730 of the family's 1533-position model. The record is from RNAcentral. Lineage: Bacteria; Bacillati; Bacillota; Bacilli.
AUACAUGCAAGUCGAGGGAGCUUGCCUAGAUGAUUUUAGUGCUUGCACUAAAUGAAACUAGAUACAAGCGAGCGGCGGACGGGUGAGUAACACGUGGGUAACCUGCCCAAGAGACUGGGAUAACACCUGGAAACAGAUGCUAAUACCGGAUAACAACACUAGACGCAUGUCUAGAGUUUGAAAGAUGGUUCUGCUAUCACUCUUGGAUGGACCUGCGGUGCAUUAGCUAGUUGGUAAGGUAAUGGCUUACCAAGGCGAUGAUGCAUAGCCGAGUUGAGAGACUGAUCGGCCACAUUGGGACUGAGACACGGCCCAAACUCCUACGGGAGGCAGCAGUAGGGAAUCUUCCACAAUGGACGAAAGUCUGAUGGAGCAACGCCGCGUGAGUGAAGAAGGGUUUCGGCUCGUAAAGCUCUGUUGGUAGUGAAGAAAGAUAGAGGUAGUAACUGGCCUUUAUUUGACGGUAAUUACUUAGAAAGUCACGGCUAACUACGUGCCAGCAGCCGCGGUAAUACGUAGGUGGCAAGCGUUGUCCGGAUUUAUUGGGCGUAAAGCGAGUGCAGGCGGUUCAAUAAGUCUGAUGUGAAAGCCUUCGGCUCAACCGGAGAAUUGCAUCAGAAACUGUUGAACUUGAGUGCAGAAGAGGAGAGUGGAACUCCAUGUGUAGCGGUGGAAUGCGUAGAUAUAUGGAAGAACACCAGUGGCGAAGGCGGCUCUCU